AAUGUGGACUCAGAAUUUAUAGAAGAAUGACUUGGGAAAGUCAGCCAAAGAGAGUAAGAGCCUCGUAUUUUAAAUAGAUUCUGUACCUAGCAGUAUCCUGAGUACGGCGGGACACGUGAAAUCCCGUCGGAAUCUGGGAGGACCAUCUCCCAACCCUAAAUACUCCCUAGUGACCGAUAGUGAACCAGUACCGUGAGGGAAAGGUGAAAAGCACCCCGGGAGGGGAGUGAAAUAGAACCUGAAACCGUGUGCCUACAACAAGUUCGAGCCCGUUCAUGGGUGAGAGCGUGCCUUUUGUAGAAUGAACCGGCGAGUUACGUUAUGAUGCGAGGUUAAGUUGAAGAGACGGAGCCGUAGGGAAACCGAGUCUGAAUAGGGCGUCUUAGUAUCAUGAUGUAGACCCGAAACCAUGUGACCUACCCAUGAGCAGGUUGAAGGUGCGGUAAAACGCACUGGAGGACCGAACCAGGGCACGUUGAAAAGUGCUUGGAUGACUUGUGGGUAGCGGAGAAAUUCCAAACGAACUUGGAGAUAGCUGGUUCUCUCCGAAAUAGCUUUAGGGCUAGCGUCGACAUGAAGAUUCUUGGAGGUAGAGCACUGUUUGGGUGAGGGGUCCAUCCCGGAUUACCAAUCUCAGAUAAACUCCGAAUGCCAAUGAAUUAUGGUCGGCAGUCAGACUGCGAGUGCUAAGAUCCGUAGUCGAAAGGGAAACAGCCCAGACCACCAGCUAAGGUCCCAAAAUAAUUGUUAAGUGGAAAAGGAUGUGGGGUUGCACAGACAACUAGGAUGUUAGCUUAGAAGCAGCUAUUCAUUCAAAGAGUGCGUAAUAGCUCACUAGUCGAGUGACCCU
Molecule: ribosomal RNA, 850 nt
Filed under: Streptococcus sanguinis
Lineage: Bacteria; Bacillati; Bacillota; Bacilli; Lactobacillales; Streptococcaceae
Description: partial 23S ribosomal RNA
Rfam family: Bacterial large subunit ribosomal RNA
Source: RNAcentral